Molecule: ribosomal RNA, 521 nt
Filed under: uncultured bacterium
Lineage: Bacteria
Description: bacterial SSU rRNA
Rfam family: Bacterial small subunit ribosomal RNA
Source: RNAcentral
CUCAGAAUCAACGCUGGCGGCGUGCCUAACACAUGCAAGUCGAACGCGGUUUCCCCGCAAGGGGAAACUGAGUAGCGAACGGGUGAGUAACACGUGGGUGACCUACCUUCGAGUGGGGGAUAACGUCCCGAAAGGGACGCUAAUACCGCAUAACAUCCUGUCCUUGAACGGAUGGAGAUCAAAGCCGGGGAUCGUAAGACCUGGCGCUUGAUGAGGGGCCCGCGUCCGAUUAGCUAGUUGGUGAGGUAAUGGCUCACCAAGGCAACGAUCGGUAGCCGGCCUGAGAGGGCGGACGGCCACACUGGGACUGAGACACGGCCCAGACUCCUACGGGAGGCAGCAGUGGGGAAUUGUUCGCAAUGGGCGCAAGCCUGACGACGCAACGCCGCGUGGAGGAUGAAGGUCUUCGGAUUGUAAACUCCUGUUGCCAGGGACGAAUGGCCACGACCUAACACGUCGUGGUGUGACGGUACCUGGUGAGGAAGCCCCGGCUAACUCUGUGCUAGCAGCCGCGGUAAUAC